GAUCAUGGCUCAGGACGAACGCUGGCGGCGUGCUUAACACAUGCAAGUCGAACGGAGUGCUCAUGACAGAGGUUUCGGCCAAUGGAUUGAGUUACUUAGUGGCGGACUGGUGAGUAACGCGUGAGGAACCUGCCUUUCAGAGGGGGACAACAGUUGGAAACGACUGCUAAUACCGCAUGACACAUUGGAGGGGCAUCCCUUCGAUGUCAAAGAUUUUAUCGCUGAAAGAUGG
This 232-nucleotide ribosomal RNA is filed under the name uncultured bacterium. RNAcentral's name for it is "partial 16S ribosomal RNA". It matches the Rfam family "Bacterial small subunit ribosomal RNA", at positions 15 to 228 of the family's 1533-position model. The record is from RNAcentral.